UACGAAGGGGGCUAGCGUUGUUCGGAUUUACUGGGCGUAAAGCGCACGUAGGCGGAUCGUUAAGUCGGGGGUGAAAUCCUGGAGCUCAACUCCAGAACUGCCUUCGAUACUGGCGAUCUUGAGUCCGGAAGAGGUGAGUGGAACUCCUAGUGUAGAGGUGGAAUUCGUAGAUAUCUGGAGGAACACCGGUGGCGAAGGCGGCAUCCUGGGCCGGUAUUGACGCUGAGGAGCGAAAGCCAGGGGAGCAAACGGG
RNAcentral lists this ribosomal RNA (253 nucleotides) under uncultured bacterium. Its description in RNAcentral is "partial 16S ribosomal RNA". It matches the Rfam family "Bacterial small subunit ribosomal RNA", at positions 524 to 776 of the family's 1533-position model. The record is from RNAcentral.